This 497-nucleotide ribosomal RNA is filed under the name uncultured bacterium. RNAcentral's name for it is "partial 16S ribosomal RNA". It matches the Rfam family "Bacterial small subunit ribosomal RNA", at positions 28 to 507 of the family's 1533-position model. The record is from RNAcentral.
GAUGAACGCUGGCGGCGUGCCUAAUACAUGCAAGUCGAGCGAACAGACGAGGAGCUUGCUUCUCUGACGUUAGCGGCGGACGGGUGAGUAACACGUGGAUAACCUACCUAUAAGACUGGGAUAACUUCGGGAAACCGGAGCUCAUACCGGAUAAUAUAUUGAACCGCAUGGUUCAAUAGUGAAAGACGGUUUUGCUGUCACUUAUAGAUGGAUCCGCGCCGCAUUAGCUAGUUGGUAAGGUAACGGCUUACCAAGGCAACGAUGCGUAGCCGACCUGAGAGGGUGAUCGGCCACACUGGAACUGAGACACGGUCCAGACUCCUACGGGAGGCAGCAGUAGGGAAUCUUCCGCAAUGGGCGAAAGCCUGACGGAGCAACGCCGCGUGAGGGAUGAAGGUCUUCGGAUCGUAAAACGCUGUUAUUAGGGAAGAACAAAUGUGUAAGUAACUAUGCACGUCUUGACGGUACCUAAUCAGAAAGCCACGGCUAACUACGUG